Molecule: ribosomal RNA, 464 nt
Filed under: uncultured bacterium
Lineage: Bacteria
Description: partial 16S ribosomal RNA
Rfam family: Bacterial small subunit ribosomal RNA
Source: RNAcentral
GACGAACGCUGGCGGCGUGCUUAACACAUGCAAGUCGAACGGAAAGGCCCCUUUGGGGGUACUCGAGUGGCGAACGGGUGAGUAACACGUGAGUAACCUGCCCUUGACUUCGGGAUAACUUCAGGAAACUGGGGCUAAUACCGGAUAGGAAUCCUUGCUGCAUGGUGGGGGUUGGAAAGCUUCGGCGGUUUUGGAUGGACUCGCGGCUUAUCAGCUUGUUGGUGGGGUAGUGGCUUACCAAGGCUUUGACGGGUAGCCGGCCUGAGAGGGCGACCAGCCACAUUGGGACUGAGAUACGGCCCAGACUCCUACGGGAGGCAGCAGUGGGGAAUAUUGCACAAUGGGCGGAAGCCUGAUGCAGCAACGCCGCGUGCGGGAUGACGGCCUUCGGGUUGUAAACCGCUUUCAGCAGGGGCGAAGCUUUUGUGACGGUACCUGCAGAAGAAGCACCGGCUAACUACGUG